AACGGCGAGUGAAGCGGCAACAGCUCAAAUUUGAAAUCUGGCCUCACGGUCCGAAUUGUAAUUUGUAGAGGAUGUUUCUGGCGACGUGUCUUCCGAGUUCCCUGGAACGGGACGCCAUAGAGGGUGAGAGCCCCGUCCGGUCGUACACCUAGCCUCUGUGAAACUCCUUCGACGAGUCGAGUAGUUUGGGAAUGCUGCUCUAAAUGGGAGGUAUACGUCUUCUAAAGCUAAAUACCGGCCAGAGACCGAUAGCGCACAAGUAGAGUGAUCGAAAGAUGAAAAGCACUUUGAAAAGAGGGUUAAAUAGUACGUGAAAUUGCUGAAAGGGAAGCGCUUAUGACCAGACUUGGGCUCGGUGAAUCAUCCGGCGUUCUCGCCGGUGCACUUUGCCGUCCCAGGCCAGCAUCAGUUCGCGCCGGGGGAUAAAGGUUUCGGGAAUGUAGCUCCCUCGGGAGUGUUAUAGCCCGUUGCGUAAUACCCUGGCGUGGACUGAGGUCCGCGCUCUGCAAGGAUGCUGGCGUAAUGGUCAUCAGUGACCCGUCUUGAAACACGGACCAAGGAGUCGUCUUCGUAUGCGAGUGUUCGGGUGUCAAACCCCUACGCGUAAUGAAAGUGAACGUAGGAGAGAGCUUCGGCGCAUCUCCGACCGAUCCUGAUGUUCUCGGAUGGAUUUGAGUAAGAGCAUACGGGGCCGGACCCGAAAGAAGGUGAACUAUGCCUGUAUAGGGUGAAGCCAGAGGAAACUCUGGUGGAGGCUCGCAGCGGUUCUGACGUGCAAAUCGAUCGUCAAAUAUGGGCAUGGGGGCGAAAGACUAAUCGAACCUUCUAGUAGCUGGUUUCCGCCGAAGUUUCCCUCAGGAUAGCAGUGUUGAACUCAGUUUUAUGAGGUAAAGCGAAUGAUUAGGGACCCGGGGGCGCUUUUUAGCCUUCAUCCAUUCUCAAACUUUAAAUAUGUAAGAAGCCCUUGUUGCUUAGUUGAACGUGGGCAUUCGAAUGUAUCAACA
Molecule: ribosomal RNA, 1004 nt
Filed under: Acremonium sp. SMH 2748
Lineage: Eukaryota; Fungi; Ascomycota; Sordariomycetes; Hypocreales; Bionectriaceae
Description: eukaryotic LSU rRNA
Rfam family: Eukaryotic large subunit ribosomal RNA
Source: RNAcentral